Molecule: long non-coding RNA, 1388 nt
Filed under: Anser brachyrhynchus (Pink-footed goose)
Lineage: Eukaryota; Metazoa; Chordata; Aves; Anseriformes; Anatidae
Description: lncRNA (ENSABRG00000001102.1)
Source: RNAcentral
GGAAGAGCUUUGAAGAGUCCAAGAGCACAUCCUUCAUCUCUUUUAUGAGAAUGUCCUCUGGGAAACACUAGCUAAAACUUACCAGCAUCUGAAUCUUCUAGUUCUACCCCAUUCAUAACUCCAACAAGCCAGUAAAGAAUUUUAAAGGAAAUAAGACUGUCCUGACACAACUUGUUCCCAGGACCUCCAUUUUUACCAGUGCUCAUCCCCUUGUUAUCUCCAGAUGUGAAAGUAUGUGAAUGGUGUACAAGCUUAUCAAAUUGGACAGAAUUAAGGACACUAUGACAAGGAGAGUUCAGGACACUAAACUAGUUCUUAUGACACACCCUGUGGAUCUACAUUUCACAGAAUCACAGAAUUUUUUCAUCUUCUCUUCAGGAGAAAAGCAUGUGGACUCUCGACUUUUAAUAAGUGUUGUGUCAUCCAGAGAAAACUAGAAACAGUUGUGUCCAAAGGAAAAGACAAUAUGAAGUGACAACUUAUGCUGGCCUGCAGGAGCUUGAUCGCAUUAAUUCCCUAAUGGAGAAGCUAAUGUAUGUCAUCACUCUACCAUGUGUAAUCAUCUCAGACUGGAGAGAACAGUAUUUCUUCCAGCUGAAUACGUUUUGAUCUAUUCUCAAAAUAUUACUGCAACAUUCAUUUUUAUCUGUGAGUGGUAAAGAACUUUAAUUUGCAUAUUACCACUUCUUGUUUUCAUUUCAGAGUUUUAAAGGAAUUCAGUGAAGUGAAAGAGUAAAUGAUAUAAAUGAUAAAUAGAUAAUACUUAUUCAAAGUGUAUCAGUAUUUUGUCAUGCUUCAAGAACCUGUCAUGUAGUACAUACCUACACCUAAGCAGCUGCUCACCUCUUGCCUGAGGCUUUGGGAUUAAAGUAGCCAGUGGUCAACCUUACUCAGCAAAUUUUUUCUUUCCAACAAAGCUAGUGGGUUACUGUAAAUAACGCAAUGGAAGACCUGCACCUUCUGGUUCCAACUAAACAUGCAGCUACUUGAAGUUCAGUUUAUAUAAGAAGUGUGUACAAACAAAAUGGCUGCAUAUUUUCUACUUAAUUAGAAAUGUUGAGAUAAUUAUUUUUGUAGACGUAGAUCUUUGUGAUCGAACACAGCUAGAGGAUUUGGUACUUCAUGUUAAGGCUUUACUUUAGACAGAAUUUGUUCCAUGCAAAGUUUUUUGAAAAUUGUUACAAUACUUAUAGCCUAAAUGUAGAUCAAGGAAUCAGUGCAGGAAAAUAGUAUUGAAACAGUCUAUUUCAAUGAUAGAGCUACUUGCAAAAUGCAUUAAAAAUGCCUUUGCUUGUUCUUUGUGCUGAGACUCUUUACUGUAAGAGAGAAGUCAAAUGGUGUCACCUGAUAUAAAUAAAAUCUUGUGGUGUUAAGAAAAGUACUAGGAG